RNAcentral lists this long non-coding RNA (648 nucleotides) under Cyanistes caeruleus (blue tit). Its description in RNAcentral is "lncRNA (ENSCCEG00000008923.1)". Lineage: Eukaryota; Metazoa; Chordata; Aves; Passeriformes; Paridae. The record is from RNAcentral.
UUCAGCCAGUGCAUUCCCCAGGGAGCCACAACAUGCAGCUGGAACAGCAAAAAGCUGGAAUUGAAAGCUAUGCUGACUUUUAUUGGGAAGUCUUCAGCUGUCUAGUGAAGAAGUCAGAGCUCCAGCUGUUUCCUCCACAUCUGGGCUCUCUAGUGCUGCUAACUGCUGUUUGUGAGGUCCCAGGUGGAGGCAGGAAUGGAGGUGGAGCAGAGCAGCACUCUGAGGAGGAGUAAGGAGCUGUGGCCAAAGCCUUGAAGAAACUCAAGGAGGGAAUUGGAGGAGGUGGCAAAGCUCCCAAGUUAUCCAGAGACCUGUGGUUUCUCCAUGCCCAGAGCUGCCCCAGCAGAAGCUUCUAGAAGAGUUAGAGGUCUUCAAUUCAGCAAAUUCCCUUUUCCUCCUGUUGCUCCAGUGGUGUCCUGCUGUCCUGGCUUUGUGAGGUUCCCAGAGUUAUUCUGGACCCCGAUAAAUCAGACCUUAAAUAUGGAGAAAUUACCUGCACCUGGGUUUUCUUCUGAGAAUAAUAUAUGUGCAUUGCAGUGUUGGCUAACAAUGCCUAGGACUGCUGGAGGAACUCUUGCAAGUGACCCAUUUUUUUUGGUGAGAUAAUCUGUGGGUUAUUAAAAAGACAUAUAUUUAAAAAUCCUAAAG